UAAAUAAUAGUCUUUCCUUUUGCCCCGGCUUCUUCCUCUAUUCGUUUGAUAAUCUAGAUCUACUCUCUUCAUCUUCUUCUUUCCCUUUUUAUUUUACCAUUUUUUCCUUCUAAUUCUACAGAUCUUAUCCCACUUUUCGAUCUGAUUUUGUUUACAGAUCCACUCGUUCCUCAUCUUUUUGCUUUUGUUGGUUUACAAUUCCUUUUGUUAUUUACAGAUCCAUUCUGAUUUUUUAACACGGUUUGUGCUGAGUUAUGCCAUCCCAAAGAUGCAAUUUUUAUUGCAAUUCUCAUUCAAGGGUCACCAUUUUGUUGUCCUUCCUCUGCAAUCUGCUGUGCUCCUACCUGUGGUUCUUCAGCUGCUAGUUGAUUUGCCAUAUCUUGGAGUUGGUUUGUUAUUGGUUCAAUUGCUGAGCUAUCGCUGCAAAAGACAGACAUCAAAGUGUGAGCCCACUGUUGGAAAAUCACAGCUGUUUGCUCUAUUAUGUUAUCCCUUUCCCUUAUCAGCCUCGCACAGCCUCCCAUGCGAUCUUCUCUUAGAACGUUUGCCUCGUAGGCACGAUUAUUCAGAAGCUGCCUUUUUUCUUCAAUCCCUUCGUACAUUUUAAGCCACGUAAUCACUGUUUUUCUUCCCCCAUGUGUACGAGUAACUCUUCCAAAUGUUUCGUAUUGUUCAUUCGGGAUAAGGUGUCGGAAUUGACAAUCGGCUUCACACACUGAAAUCUUCCCGGACCUGCAUGCCCCACAUAUUUGUGCUCCAAAUGGAUUUGGUAAAUUAAAGGCGUCUCCAAUAUGUUGUGCUGCAUCUACAAUCUGUUGUGCAGCAGCUAUAAUCUGUUAUACCAUGUGAUCUGCCCCUAUCUGCUGUGCUUUAGUAGUUAUUUGAUUUGCUAGUUGUUGGAUUUGGUUGGCAAUUUGGUGGAUCUCAUGUGAUGGAUUAUUCCUGCAUAAGUUAGUGCUGGAUUACGGUUCAGUGAAACAAAAGCUUAGAUAUAGCCAUCUAGCCAUGGUCAACACUAAACACACAUGCAAGAAGUUCUAUUGUACAAUAAAGUUCUAUUCUUUUUUGGUUUUUCCCCAAGAAAAUCUGCGGAACCGAAAGAAAACAUAGAUUUGAGAUAAGUUAUCUCUCCGAUCCACAAUAAGUGACCAAUUUAGUUUGGGCACACCCAUUAAGAAAAUAUUAAAUUCUAAACAAAAAUAGUUAGUGUGACUAAACUAUCCUUAGUUAAAUGUUGCAACAUAGUUAAUGUGAGGAGUAAAAGACUUUUUAGGGAUAUAUACGUAAGGGUAAUUUUGGAAUAACAAAUUGAUUUUUUUUUGAUUAUAUAAAUGAACACUUAUUUUAGCCCAAAAUAAAAAAGCAAAUUGGUCACUUAUUGUGGAUCGACAAGAGUAAUAGAGUAAAAAUCAAGUCUUUUAAUAAAGUUCUAUUCUUUUUUGUUUUUUUCCAAGAAAAUGUUGGGAACCGAAAGAAAACAUAGAUUUGAGAUAAGUAAUAGAGUAAAAAUCAAGGCUUUGUAAUUUGUCUUCAUUACCUAAUGCAGAAAUAAAUUCCUGAUUUUAACAAUUACAAGAUUUAAAAUUUACCUCAAUAGUAUGAGUAGUAUGUUAAUUGUAAUACUUUGUUGAGGUAAUCGAUGCUGUUGUUCUUGGA
Nicotiana tabacum (common tobacco) is the source of this 1656-nucleotide non-coding RNA. NCBI's taxonomy places the organism in Eukaryota, Viridiplantae, Streptophyta, Magnoliopsida, Solanales, Solanaceae. The record is from RefSeq and is a predicted model, not a curated record.